RNAcentral lists this ribosomal RNA (228 nucleotides) under uncultured bacterium. Its description in RNAcentral is "partial 16S ribosomal RNA". It matches the Rfam family "Bacterial small subunit ribosomal RNA", at positions 524 to 751 of the family's 1533-position model. The record is from RNAcentral.
GACAUAGGUGGCAAACGUUAUCCGGAAUUAUUGGGCGUAAAGAGUGCGUAGGUGGUUUAAUAAGUUAGUAGUGGUAAAUUGAGGCUCAACCUCAUGGAAAUUACUAAUACUAUUAACUAGAGGAUCGGAGGGGUUAACGGAAUUCUAUGUGUAGCGGUAAAAUGCUCAAAUAUAUAGAGGAACACCAAUUGGCGAAGGCAGUUAACUAUUCGAUUCCUGACGUUGAGG